Molecule: ribosomal RNA, 327 nt
Filed under: uncultured eukaryote
Lineage: Eukaryota
Description: partial 18S ribosomal RNA
Rfam family: Eukaryotic small subunit ribosomal RNA
Source: RNAcentral
CCCUUAGAUGUUCUGGGCCGCACACGCGCUACACUGAAGGAGGCAGCGUGUACUCCUGGAUCGAAAGAUUUGGGUAACCCGCGAAUCUCCUUCGUGCUAGGGAUUGAGGUUUGCAAUUAUCCUUCAUGAACGAGGAAUUCCCAGUAAGUGCAAGUCAUAAGCUUGCGCUGACUACGUCCCUGCCCUUUGUACACACCGCCCGUCGCUACUACCGAUUGCAUGAUUUAGUGAGGACUUCGGACUGGGACCGAUGCGGCUUUCGGGCUGCGUCGGUAUUCUGGAAAGAUGUCCAAACUGUAUCAUUUAGAGGAAGUAAAAGUCGUAACA